UGGGGAAUAUUGCACAAUGGGGGAAACCCUGAUGCAGCGACGCCGCGUGAGCGAAGAAGGCUUUCGAGUCGUAAAGCUCUGUCCUAUGAGAAGCUAAUGACGGUAUCAUAGGCGGAAGCCCUGGCUAACUACGUGCCAGCAGCCGCGGUAAUACGUAUGGGGCGAGCGUUGUCCGGAAUUAUUGGGCGUAAAGGGUACGUAGGUGGUUUUUUAAGUCAGGUGUCAAAGCGUGGAGCUUAACUCCAUUAAGCACUUGAAACUGAAAGACUUGAGUGAAGGAGAGGAAAGUGGAAUUCCUAGUGUAGCGGUGAAAUGCGUAGAUAUUAGGAGGAAUACCGGUGGCGAAGGCGACUUUCUGGACUUUUACUGACGCUCAGGUACGAAAGCGUGGGGAGCAAACAGG
RNAcentral lists this ribosomal RNA (403 nucleotides) under Verrucomicrobiota bacterium. RNAcentral's name for it is "Verrucomicrobia bacterium partial 16S ribosomal RNA". It matches the Rfam family "Bacterial small subunit ribosomal RNA", at positions 355 to 776 of the family's 1533-position model. Lineage: Bacteria; Pseudomonadati; Verrucomicrobiota. The record is from RNAcentral.